GCCUUGAAUUUCAAAGGUGAUGGAGUGUUUCAUGGCUCAGUGACCACAAUUUAGGAUGAUAGCUGCUGAAAUCAAGAUAUGGCUAAAACUUCACAGAAUUGUUCAGAAAUG
Molecule: long non-coding RNA, 111 nt
Organism: Mytilus californianus (California mussel)
Lineage: Eukaryota; Metazoa; Mollusca; Bivalvia; Mytilida; Mytilidae
Exons: 2
Source: RefSeq, a predicted model, not a curated record